Molecule: ribosomal RNA, 497 nt
Filed under: uncultured bacterium
Lineage: Bacteria
Description: partial 16S ribosomal RNA
Rfam family: Bacterial small subunit ribosomal RNA
Source: RNAcentral
GAUGAACGCUGGCGGCGUGCCUAAUACAUGCAAGUCGAGCGAACAGACGAGGAGCUUGCUCCUCUGACGUUAGCGGCGGACGGGUGAGUAACACGUGUAUAACCUACCUAUAAGACUGGGAUAACUUCGGGAAACCGGAGCUAAUACCGGAGAAUAUAUUGAACCGCAUGGUUCAAUAGUGAAAGACGGUUUUGCUGUCACUUAUAGAUGGAUCCGCGCCGCAUUAGCUAGUUGGUAAGGUAACGGCUUACCAAGGCAACGAUGCGUAGCCGACCGGAGAGGGGGGUCGGCCACACUGGAACUGGACCACGGUCCAGACUCCUACGGGAGGCAGCAGUAGGGAAUCUGCCGCAAUGGGCGAAAGCAUGACGGAGCAACGCCGCGUGAGUGAUGAAGGUCUUCGGAUCGGAAAACUCUGUUAUUAGGGAAGAACAAAUGUGUAAGUAGCUAUGCACGUCUUGACGGUACCGAAUCAGAAAGCCACGGCUAACUACGUG